CAAAAAUAAACGUCUCAGUUCGGAUUGUAGUCUGCAACUCGACUACAUGAAGCUGGAAUCGCUAGUAAUCGCAGAUCAGAAUGCUGCGGUGAAUACGUUCCCGGGUCUUGUACACACCGCCCGUCACACCAUGGGAGUCGGAAAUGCCCGAAGCCGGUGACCCAACCAAAAGGAGGGAGCCGUCGAAGGCAGGUCUGGUAACUGGGGUGAAGUCGUAACAAGGUACC
RNAcentral lists this ribosomal RNA (227 nucleotides) under uncultured bacterium. Its description in RNAcentral is "partial 16S ribosomal RNA". It matches the Rfam family "Bacterial small subunit ribosomal RNA", at positions 1274 to 1500 of the family's 1533-position model. The record is from RNAcentral.